UCAGGCCUGCACCAGAUGCCCCUUGUUCUUUUGUGCAGGGGAUGAUCUCUCUUCUCAGCCACGCUGCUGAGGGCAACUUCCAGCCAGUCUUGGACACACUCACCAUCUUUGCGUCCAGGCUGUGCAAAGGCCGGCACGCGAGGAGGUCCGCACGCAAGAAGAUGGAGCUGAACAGCGCAAGAGCCCAAGCCACACGCAGUGCUCUCAUGCUCGCCCAUGGCCGCUUGGCACUGCGUGCCUCCAAGGAGCAACUGCUCGCCCGCCUGGAGGGAGACAUCGUGGGCAACAUCCUGCUGCUCUACAGCUGCAGCUGCCGGGACUUGCAGAACAAGCUCGCGCUGGUGCAGAGCAUCACCGACCUCAGCUCUGCCUUCCAAGCUGUGGGUGACUCCGGCCGCUUUAAGCCCUCCUUGAAGGGCAAGCUGCUGGAGAUCCUGAUGGUGAGUGCCUAGAGCCAGGGCCGUCUGCAGGGGAGUUUGGGGCGGUGCCAUGAGGCUCGCUUCCCUGGAGGCAUACAGGUCUCCCUCAGCCACCCGUCUCCAGCCUGUGGGGACCUUGGGUGCUGGCAGGCAG
This 573-nucleotide long non-coding RNA is filed under the name Numida meleagris (helmeted guineafowl). Its description in RNAcentral is "lncRNA (ENSNMEG00000000757.1)". Lineage: Eukaryota; Metazoa; Chordata; Aves; Galliformes; Numididae. The record is from RNAcentral.